AUUGAACGCUGGCGGCAGGCCUAACACAUGCAAGUCGAGCGGUGAAGGGAGCUUGCUCCUGGAUUCAGCGGCGGACGGGUGAGUAAUGCCUAGGAAUCUGCCUGGUAGUGGGGGAUAACGUCCGGAAACGGGCGCUAAUACCGCAUACGUCCUGAGGGAGAAAGUGGGGGAUCUUCGGACCUCACGCUAUCAGAUGAGCCUAGGUCGGAUUAGCUAGUUGGUGGGGUAAAGGCCUACCAAGGCGACGAUCCGUAACUGGUCUGAGAGGAUGAUCAGUCACACUGGAACUGAGACACGGUCCAGACUCCUACGGGAGGCAGCAGUGGGGAAUAUUGGACAAUGGGCGAAAGCCUGAUCCAGCCAUGCCGCGUGUGUGAAGAAGGUCUUCGGAUUGUAAAGCACUUUAAGUUGGGAGGAAGGGCAGUAAGUUAAUACCUUGCUGUUUUGACGUUACCAACAGAAUAAGCACCGGCUAACUUCGUG
Molecule: ribosomal RNA, 483 nt
Filed under: uncultured bacterium
Lineage: Bacteria
Description: partial 16S ribosomal RNA
Rfam family: Bacterial small subunit ribosomal RNA
Source: RNAcentral